UUGCUUCAGCAGCACAUAUACUAAAAUUGGAAUGAUACAGAGAAAUUAACAUGGCCCCUACACAAGGAUGACGUGCAAAUUGGUGAAGCAUUACAUGAUGAA
Molecule: small nuclear RNA, 102 nt
Organism: Ailuropoda melanoleuca (giant panda)
Lineage: Eukaryota; Metazoa; Chordata; Mammalia; Carnivora; Ursidae
Source: Ensembl